CCUACGGGUGGCAGCAGUGAGGAAUAUUGGUCAAUGGCCGUAAGGCUGAACCAGCCAAGUCGCGUGAAGGAAGAAGGAUCUAUGGUUUGUAAACUUCUUUUAUAGGGGAAUAAAGGUAUCCACGUGUGGAUAUUUGCAUGUACCCUAUGAAUAAGCAUCGGCUAACUCCGUGCCAGCAGCCGCGGUAAUACGGAGGAUGCGAGCGUUAUCCGGAUUUAUUGGGUUUAAGGGGAGCGUAGGUGGAUUGUUAAGUCAGUUGUGAAAGUUUGCGGCUCAACCGUAAAAUUGCAGUUGACACUGGCAGUCUUGAGUACAGUAGAGGUGGGCGGAAUUCGUGGUGUAGCGGUGAAAUGCUUAGAUAUCACGCAGAACUCCGAUUGCGAAGGCAGCUUACUAAGCCAUAACUGACACUGAAGCACGAAAGCGUGGGGAUCAAACAGGAUUAGAUACCCCUGUAGUC
This 460-nucleotide ribosomal RNA is filed under the name uncultured bacterium. Its description in RNAcentral is "partial 16S ribosomal RNA". It matches the Rfam family "Bacterial small subunit ribosomal RNA", at positions 338 to 795 of the family's 1533-position model. The record is from RNAcentral.